GAUUGAACGCUAGCGGCAGGCCUAACACAUGCAAGUCGAGGGAGAGGUUAUCUUCGGGUAACCAAAACCGGCGCACGGGUGCGUAACGCGUAUACAAUCUGCCUUUCACAUAGGGAUAGCCCGAAGAAAUUUGGAUUAAUACCUAAUGGUAUAUAAGAGCGGCAUCGUUUUUAUAUUAAAGCUACGGUGGUGAAAGAUGAGUAUGCGUUCUAUUAGCUAGUUGGAGAGGUAACGGCUCCCCAAGGCGACGAUAGAUAGGGGUUCUGAGAGGGAUGUCCCCCACACUGGUACUGAGAUACGGACCAGACUCCUACGGGAGGCAGCAGUGAGGAAUAUUGGACAAUGGUCGGAAGACUGAUCCAGCCAUGCCGCGUGCAGGAUGAAGGUCCUAUGGAUUGUAAACUGCUUUUGUAAGGGAAGAAUAAGGAGUACGUGUACUUUGAUGACGGUACCUUACGAAUAAGCAUCGGCUAACUCCGUGCCAGCAGCCGCGGUAAUACGGAGGAUGCGAGCGUUAUCCGGAAUCAUUGGGUUUAAAGGGUCCGUAGGCGGGCUGAUAAGUCAGAGGUGAAAGCGCUUAGCUCAACUAAGCAACUGCCUUUGAAACUGUCAGUCUUGAAUGAUUGUGAAGUAGUUGGAAUGUGUAGUGUAGCGGUGAAAUGCUUAGAUAUUACACAGAACACCGAUAGCGAAGGCAUAUUACUAACAAUUUAUUGACGCUGAUGGACGAAAGCGUGGGGAGCGAACAGG
RNAcentral lists this ribosomal RNA (750 nucleotides) under uncultured Capnocytophaga sp. Its description in RNAcentral is "bacterial SSU rRNA". It matches the Rfam family "Bacterial small subunit ribosomal RNA", at positions 27 to 776 of the family's 1533-position model. Lineage: Bacteria; Pseudomonadati; Bacteroidota; Flavobacteriia; Flavobacteriales; Flavobacteriaceae. The record is from RNAcentral.